CGGUGGAGUAUGUGGUUUAAUUCGAUGCAAACCGGAGAACCUCACCUGGGUUUGACAUGUACGUGGUACGGAUCUGAAAGGUGAAGGACGGUACCCUUUCGGGUACCGAGCGUACACAGGUGCUGCAUGGCUGUCGUCAGCUCGUGUCGUGAGAUGUUGGGUUAAGUCCCGCAACGAGCGCAGCCCCUACGCUGAGUUACCAGCACGUAAAGGUGGGGACUCUCAGUGGACUGCCGGCGACAAGCCGGAGGAGGGUGGGGACGACGUCAAGUCAUCAUGGCCCUCAUGUCCAGGGCGACACACGUGCUACAAUGGCCGGCACAACGGGAAGCGACGGCGCGAGUCGUAGCGGAUCCCUCAAAGCCGGUCCCAGUUCGGAUUGCAGUCUGCAACUCGACUGCAUGAAGCCGGAAUCGCUAGUAAUCGUGGAUCAGCCAAGCCGCGGUGAAUACGUUCCCGGGCCUU
RNAcentral lists this ribosomal RNA (465 nucleotides) under uncultured Thermanaerovibrio sp. Its description in RNAcentral is "bacterial SSU rRNA". It matches the Rfam family "Bacterial small subunit ribosomal RNA", at positions 930 to 1382 of the family's 1533-position model. The record is from RNAcentral. Lineage: Bacteria; Thermotogati; Synergistota; Synergistia; Synergistales; Synergistaceae.